UGAAAGUGAAGUCGCUCAGUCAUGUCCGACCCUCAGCGACCCCAUGGACUGCAGCCCACCAGGCUCCUCCGUCCAUGGGAUUUUCCAGGCAAGAUGGCUGGAAUAUGGACCCAGAAAGUGUGGUGUUGAGUUUUCUUCAAUCUCAUAGACAAGGGCAUCAAGAUAAAGGUGAUUUGCAUCCCCGACUAAAGCAGAGCCACCCUGUCCACCAUGAAUGCUUAAACACCUGCUGAAGCUGAAGAGAGAACUCCUGUGUUUAAGCACCUGUUACUGUGGGUCUUUGUUAAAGAACUGCAUCCUAGCUAGUACAGACAUUCAUUUCAACAUUGUGCUGUUCUGCACAAAUAUCCGUUUGCUUAAUCCUCAUCCUAGGAGCACCUCCAUCACCUCCGCUUAAUAGAUGGGGAGAGAGGCUGAAAGGAGCUGCUGGGAAGGGCAGAGCGGGCUGGCACUUGAGCUGAGACCAUUUGGCUUCAGGUGACCCAUCCUGACACAAGGCAUUUUCCCACCUUUGUGACCCCCUGGGUGGGGCUGUUGGGUCCUUUGUCACGGAGCCCCUCACACAAACACCUCAAGGGCUCCAGCGAGGGCUCUGGGGAGGGCAGCAACCCCACCAGAGUCUCUUGCUCCUCCCAGCAGGCAGCUGACAGAUACCACUUCCCUCGCCCUCCCCAUCUGGAAGACAGGAAACUGG
Molecule: long non-coding RNA, 694 nt
Organism: Bos taurus (domestic cattle)
Lineage: Eukaryota; Metazoa; Chordata; Mammalia; Artiodactyla; Bovidae
Source: Ensembl